This 419-nucleotide long non-coding RNA is filed under the name Androctonus crassicauda. Lineage: Eukaryota; Metazoa; Arthropoda; Arachnida; Scorpiones; Buthidae. The record is from RNAcentral.
AAUGUUUUUUGUUCCAUGUAACUAUGACAGCGUAACGUUUUUGUUCGUAGAACGUAAAUCUUAAAUUUUUGUGUAUUGUACCUGAAGAUGAUGUGUUACACAUCGAAAACGUUAGUUUUAAUAAAGUUUUUUCGAGGUUGCGACUGCUACUGAGUGCUUGUACCAUUACUUAACAUUAUCGUAGUAACAUAGCAGACGAUCAUCAUGGACUUUGCAGAGCUGAGACAGCCUAUUAGAGAAUACACAAAAGCCAUCCAGAAAAAUAUCAAAGCCUUCGAAACAUGGAAAUUCCUUAUGCAAUGUAAGCUUAAUAGAGUCUACCCUAUGUCAAUAUACAACAUCAAGUUGCCGAUAUCUUUCAAGAGAGUCUUGAGUAAUACAAAAAGAAUCUGCCUGAAAGCAGCGCUGAUGGACACCAG